RNAcentral lists this transfer RNA (71 nucleotides) under Anthias woodsi (swallowtail bass). RNAcentral's name for it is "tRNA-Asp". It matches the Rfam family "tRNA". Rfam says of the family: Transfer RNA (tRNA) molecules are approximately 80 nucleotides in length. The record is from RNAcentral. Lineage: Eukaryota; Metazoa; Chordata; Actinopteri; Perciformes; Anthiadidae.
GAGACACUAGUACAAACUAAUUACACUGCUUUGUCAGGGCAGAAUUGUGGGUUGAAGUCCCACGUGUCUUG